AGUGAACGCUGGCGGUAGGCCUAACACAUGCAAGUCGAACGGCAGCACAGUAAGAGCUUGCUCUUACGGGUGGCGAGUGGCGGACGAGUGAGGAAUACAUCGGAAUCUACUUUUUCGUGGGGGAUAACGUAGGUAAACUUACGCUAAUACCGCAUACGACCUACGGGUGAAAGCAGUGGAUCUUCGGACCUUGCGCGAUUGAAUGCGCCGAUGUCGGAUUAGCUAGUUGGCGGGUUAAAGGCCCACCAAGGCGACGAUCCGUAGCUGGUCUGAGAGGAUGAUCGGCCACACUGGAAGUGAGACACGGACCAGGCUCCUACGGGAGGCAGCAGUGGGGAAUGUUGGACAAUGGGCGCAAGCCUGGUCCAGCCAUACCGCGUGGGUGAAGGAGGCCUUCGGGUUGUAAAGCCCUUUUGUUGGGAAAGAAAAGCAGCAGGUUAAUACCCAGCUGUUCUGACGGUACCCAAAGAAUAAGCACCGGCUAACUUCGUG
This 492-nucleotide ribosomal RNA is filed under the name uncultured bacterium. Its description in RNAcentral is "partial 16S ribosomal RNA". It matches the Rfam family "Bacterial small subunit ribosomal RNA", at positions 29 to 507 of the family's 1533-position model. The record is from RNAcentral.